UACGGGGGGGGCAAGCGUUGUUCGGAAUUACUGGGCGUAAAGGGCGCGUAGGCGGCCGCCUAAGUCAGACGUGAAAUCCCUCGGCUCAACCGGGGAACUGCGUCUGAUACUGGGUGGCUUGAAUCCGGGAGAGGGAUGCGGAAUUCCAGGUGUAGCGGUGAAAUGCGUAGAUAUCUGGAGGAACACCGGUGGCGAAGGCGGCAUCCUGGACCAACACUGACGCUGAGUGAGCGAAAGCCAGGGGAGCAAACGGG
This 254-nucleotide ribosomal RNA is filed under the name uncultured bacterium. RNAcentral's name for it is "partial 16S ribosomal RNA". It matches the Rfam family "Bacterial small subunit ribosomal RNA", at positions 524 to 776 of the family's 1533-position model. The record is from RNAcentral.